Molecule: transfer RNA, 33 nt
Filed under: Veronica yunnanensis
Lineage: Eukaryota; Viridiplantae; Streptophyta; Magnoliopsida; Lamiales; Plantaginaceae
Description: partial tRNA-Leu
Source: RNAcentral
ACAUAGACCCCCAGUCAUCUAAUAAAAUGAGGA